GACGAACGCUGGCGGCGUGCUUAACACAUGCAAGUCGAACGGAAAGGCCCUGCUUUUGUGGGGUGCUCGAGUGGCGAACGGGUGAGUAACACGUGAGUAACCUGCCCUUGACUUUGGGAUAACUUCAGGAAACUGGGGCUAAUACCGGAUAGGAGCUCCUGCUGCAUGGUGGGGGUUGGAAAGUUUCGGCGGUUGGGGAUGGACUCGCGGCUUAUCAGCUUGUUGGUGGGGUAGUGGCUUACCAAGGCUUUGACGGGUAGCCGGCCUGGGAGGGUGACCGGCCACAUUGGGACUGAGAUACGGCCCAGACUCCUACGGGAGGCAGCAGUGGGGAAUAUUGCACAAUGGGCGGAAGCCUGAUGCAGCAACGCCGCGUGCGGGAUGACGGCCUUCGGGUUGUAAACCGCUUUCGCCUGUGACGAAGCGCGAGUGACGGUAAUGGGUAAAGAAGCACCGGCUAACUACGUG
RNAcentral lists this ribosomal RNA (468 nucleotides) under uncultured bacterium. Its description in RNAcentral is "partial 16S ribosomal RNA". It matches the Rfam family "Bacterial small subunit ribosomal RNA", at positions 28 to 507 of the family's 1533-position model. The record is from RNAcentral.